CGUCUUAAAACGAGGACCAAGGAGUGGGCCAAUUCAGCGAGCGUUAGGGUGUAAGAGCCACGGCGCGCAAAAAAAGUAAAUGUAGGUGGGAAGCUUUUAGCGGCACCAUCGACCGAUCUGAGUUCGCGAGGAUUUGAGUAUGAGUUUCAUUGGUCGGACCCGAAAGUCAGUAUUCCCCCUUUAGUUUUGAAGAAAUAUACUAACAAUUUUCAAGGAAGGUGAACUUUUCUUGAAUAGGUUGAAGUCAGGUGAAAACCUGAUGGAAGACCGCAGCGGUUCUGACGUGCAAAUCGAUCGUCAAAUUUGGGAAAAGGGGCGAAAGACUAAUCGAACCUUCUAGUAGCUGGUUCCUGUCGAAGUUUCCCUCAGGAUAGCAGCAACGAUAAACAGUCUCAUGAGGUAGAGCAACGAUUAGAGGCCUUGGGGUUGAAACAACCUUAACCUAUUCUCGAACUCCGAAUAUGUGAGAAGUCCUUGUUACUUAAUGAACGUGGACAUUGGAUUACGUAUUGCC
This 514-nucleotide ribosomal RNA is filed under the name Thelotrema suecicum. Its description in RNAcentral is "LSU rRNA". It matches the Rfam family "Eukaryotic large subunit ribosomal RNA", at positions 650 to 1124 of the family's 3401-position model. Lineage: Eukaryota; Fungi; Ascomycota; Lecanoromycetes; Ostropales; Graphidaceae. The record is from RNAcentral.